Non-coding RNA from Potamilus streckersoni, 73 nucleotides. Lineage: Eukaryota; Metazoa; Mollusca; Bivalvia; Unionida; Unionidae. The record is from the annotation of a GenBank genome assembly.
GCUCCGGUGGCCUAGUGGAUUGAACAUCCGCCUCGGAUGCUGGAGGUCGUGGGUUCAAUCCCCGGUCGAGUCA